Molecule: ribosomal RNA, 321 nt
Filed under: uncultured Pseudomonadota bacterium
Lineage: Bacteria; Pseudomonadati; Pseudomonadota
Description: bacterial SSU rRNA
Rfam family: Bacterial small subunit ribosomal RNA
Source: RNAcentral
AUUGAACGCUGGCGGCAGGCCUAACACAUGCAAGUCGAGCGGUUGACGGGAGCUUGCUCCCUGAUUCAGCGGCGGACGGGUGAGUAAUGCCUAGGAAUCUGCCUAUUAGUGGGGGACAACGUUUCGAAAGGAACGCUAAUACCGCAUACGUCCUACGGGAGAAAGCAGGGGACCUUCGGGCCUUGCGCUAAUAGAUGAGCCUAGGUCGGAUUAGCUAGUUGGUGGGGUAAUGGCUCACCAAGGCGACGAUCCGUAACUGGUCUGAGAGGAUGAUCAGUCACACUGGAACUGAGACACGGUCCAGACACCUACGGGAGGCUG